Molecule: unclassified non-coding RNA, 379 nt
Filed under: uncultured Paenibacillaceae bacterium
Lineage: Bacteria; Bacillati; Bacillota; Bacilli; Caryophanales; Paenibacillaceae
Description: contains 16S-23S intergenic spacer region
Source: RNAcentral
UCCGGUUUGUCACCGGCAGUCAUCUUAGAGUGCCCACCAUUAUGUGCUGGCAACUAACAUCAAGGGUUGCGCUCGUUGCGGGACUUAACCCAACAUCUCACGACACGAGCUGACGACAACCAUGCACCACCUGUCUCCUCUGUCCCGAAGGAAAGCUUCAUCUCUGAAACGGUCAGAGGGAUGUCAAGACCUGGUAAGGUUCUUCGCGUUGCUUCGAAUUAAACCACAUACUCCACUGCUUGUGCGGGUCCCCGUCAAUUCCUUUGAGUUUCAGUCUUGCGACCGUACUCCCCAGGCGGAAUGCUUAAUGUGUUAACUUCGGCACCAAGGGCAUCGAAACCCCUGACACCUAGCAUUCAUCGUUUACGGCGUGGACUAC